RNAcentral lists this transfer RNA (71 nucleotides) under Marmota monax (woodchuck). RNAcentral's name for it is "tRNA.Ala". It matches the Rfam family "tRNA". Rfam says of the family: Transfer RNA (tRNA) molecules are approximately 80 nucleotides in length. Their secondary structure includes four short double-helical elements and three loops (D, anti-codon, and T loops). The record is from RNAcentral. Lineage: Eukaryota; Metazoa; Chordata; Mammalia; Rodentia; Sciuridae.
GGGGUUGUAGCUCAAUGGUAGAGCGCUUGCCUCGCAUGCAUGAGGCCCUGGGUUCAAUCCUCAGCACCACA